Molecule: ribosomal RNA, 481 nt
Filed under: uncultured bacterium
Lineage: Bacteria
Description: partial 16S ribosomal RNA
Rfam family: Bacterial small subunit ribosomal RNA
Source: RNAcentral
GAUGAACGCUGGCGGCGUGCUUAACACAUGCAAGUCGAACGAAGCACUUUAUUUGAUUUCCUUCGGGACUGAUUAUUUUGUGACUGAGUGGCGGACGGGUGAGUAACUCGUGGGUAACCUGCCUUGUACAGGGGGAUAACAGUUGGAAACGGCUGCUAAUACCGCAUAAGCGCACGGCAUCGCAUGAUGCAGUGUGAAAAAGUCCGGUGGUAUAAGAUGGACCCGCGUUGGUUUAGCUAGUUGGUGAGGUAACGGCCCACCAAGGCGACGAUCCAUAGCCGACCUGGGAGGGUGACAGACCACAUUGGGACUGAGACACGGCCCAAACUCGUACGGGAGGGAGCAGAGGGGAAUAUUGCACAAUGGGCGAAAGCCUGAUGCCGCGACGCCGCGUGAGCGAAGAAGUAUUUCGGUAUGUAAAGCUGUAUCAGCAGGGAAGAUAAUGACGGUAACUGACUAAGAAGCACCGGCUAACUACGUG